AGGACUUGGAAGCAGUGGAAUAUUAGCCAGGAGGCUGAGAGGCAUCAAAUCAGACCUCUUGUGUUUUAGAGAAAGAGGUGAAGCAUAUUUCUUUUCAAACGGUGGAGGACAUGGAGGCAGUGGAACAUCAUGAAGCGUCAGCCUGAUGAGCUUAAGCAUUAACUCUUCCUCUUCAUCACCUACAGACCACACUGUUGAACUUGGAUUCUUUCCACAGGGACCAAAAGCUUCAACAGGUGGAGGACUUGGAGGGAGUGGAACCUCAUGAGGCAGAGGGCUGACACACUUUGGAUUCAUGUAUUCAGCACACACAGGGGAUGGUGGAGGACUUGGAGGCAGUGGAAUAUUAGCCAGGACACUGAGAGGCAUCAAAUAAGACCUCUCGUGUUCAAGGAAACGAAGGGAAGCAUACUUCUUUUCAGAAGGUGGAGGACGCGGAGGCAAUGGAACAUCAUAAGGCAGCCCGCUGAUACACUUUUGAUCAGUAUUGUCAUCAUUUACAGGGGAUGAUGGAGGACUUGGAGGCAGGGAAAGAUCCCACGUCAUCAGCCUCAUACGUUUAGGAGGCGGUAAGAUCCCCACAUCCUGGAAGCAGUACUUGCUGCACACAUAACAAGAAAAUUCAGCAGCUGAUUAUUUUUGCAACAUAUGAUGGAAACAGAUGUUUUAAUGUCCUUUUUUUUUUAAAUUGAAAAGCAAACAUACCUGUCACUGCUGACAUCUGAGCUGCUUUGUGAGUUAAACCUCUUAAGAUGUGGAUUUUCCUUUAAAAAGUUACAUAUUAUUAUUGUUGUUGUAUUUUUCAUUAAGAAUUCACAUGAUUUAAUGUUUAGAAACAGACACAGUGAAGAGUAACUUACCACAGCUCGAGCCAUUUUAGGCGUCUGUCAGGAGAAAGAUCCACACAGGAUUUGGUUUCUCUGUGUAACAUUACAGGACAGUUGCCAUACACUUUCAAGUCAGUUUCAACAAUGUAUAUCCAAUCAAACUGUAUCAUUACAGCAUUGUUUAGGUGAUUAAAUACGAAAGAAAUGAAGAUAAAAACAGGAACAGCUGGCAAUCAAGGUAAA
Molecule: long non-coding RNA, 1070 nt
Organism: Astatotilapia calliptera (eastern happy)
Lineage: Eukaryota; Metazoa; Chordata; Actinopteri; Cichliformes; Cichlidae
Source: Ensembl